GAUAGGUUACCCUAAUUGGUAAGGGAACAGUUUGCUAAACUGUCAUCCAUUUGGAUUUACAAGUUCGAGCCUUGUACCUAUCGCCA
This 86-nucleotide transfer RNA is filed under the name Ackermannviridae sp. RNAcentral's name for it is "tRNA-Ser". It matches the Rfam family "tRNA". From Rfam's summary of the family: Transfer RNA (tRNA) molecules are approximately 80 nucleotides in length. The record is from RNAcentral. Lineage: Duplodnaviria; Heunggongvirae; Uroviricota; Caudoviricetes; Pantevenvirales; Ackermannviridae.